CCUACGGGUGGCUGCAGUGAGGAAUAUUGGUCAAUGGACGGGAGUCUGAACCAGCCAUGUAGCGUGCAGGAUGACGGCCCUACGGGUUGUAAACUGCUUUUGUAAAAGGAUAAACUUAAGUACGUGUGCUUUUUUGUAUGUACUGUACGAAUAAGGAUCGGCUAACUCCGUGCCAGCAGCCGCGGUAAUACGGAGGAUCCAAGCGUUAUCCGGAUUUAUUGGGUUUAAAGGGUGCGUAGGUGGGUUGUUAAGUUAGUUGUGAAAGUUUGCGGCUGAACUGUGGAACUGCCACUAAUACUGGUAGUCUAGAGAAGAGAUGCGGUAGGCGGAAGGUAUGGUGUAGCGGUGAAAUGCUUAGAGAUCAUACAGAACACCGAUUGCGAAGGCAGCUUACCAAUCUAAAACUGACAUUGAGGCACGAAAGUGUGGGGAGCAAACAGGAUUAGAUACCCCAGUAGUC
This 460-nucleotide ribosomal RNA is filed under the name uncultured bacterium. RNAcentral describes it as "partial 16S ribosomal RNA". It matches the Rfam family "Bacterial small subunit ribosomal RNA", at positions 338 to 795 of the family's 1533-position model. The record is from RNAcentral.